UGGGGAAUAUUCAGCAAUGGGGGAAACCCUGACGGAGCAAUGCCGCGUGAGUGAAGAAGGCCUUUGGGUCGUAAAACUCUGUCUUGAGGGACGAAAAAAAUGACGGUACCUCAAAAGAAAGCCCCGGCUAACUACGUGCCAGCAGCCGCGGUAAAACGUAGGGGGCGAGCGUUGUCCGGAAUUACUGGGCGUAAAGGGCGUGCAGGCGGCCUGUGUAGUCAAGCGGUGAAAACCCGGGGCUUAACUUCGGGAUGGCCCUUGAAACCAACAGGCUUGAGGACAGGAGAGGGGAGUGGAAUUUCCGGUGUAGCGGUGAAAUGCGUAGAUACCGGAAGGAACACCAGUGGCGAAGGCGGCUCCCUGGACUGGUCCUGACGCUGAGGCGCGAAAGCGUGGGGAGCAAACAGGAUUAGAUACCCUGGUAGUCCACGCCGUAAACGAUGGGUGCUAGGAGAAGGGGGUAU
Molecule: ribosomal RNA, 464 nt
Filed under: uncultured Clostridia bacterium
Lineage: Bacteria; Bacillati; Bacillota; Clostridia
Description: bacterial SSU rRNA
Rfam family: Bacterial small subunit ribosomal RNA
Source: RNAcentral